RNAcentral lists this long non-coding RNA (456 nucleotides) under Homo sapiens (human). Its description in RNAcentral is "HSALNT0084043". The record is from RNAcentral. Lineage: Eukaryota; Metazoa; Chordata; Mammalia; Primates; Hominidae.
UCUCAAAUGUGCAGCUUGAAGUCUUUCUCUCCUAUCACUAGGCUCAAGGCUGAGUGUCUUCCAUAUUGAUCAGGAGCCUCUGCAGCAGGCACACGCAGGACGCUGUGCUGUGCUGUGCAUGGUGAGAAGUGUGACUCACUGCUGGUGAGAAUUAUUCAGCAGACAAAAUGAACUGGGAGGAAGUGAGUGAUCUUUACCUCUUAGGCGAAAGGAUGCAAUUAUCAAGGAAACCAAUGCACAGAGCACAAAGCACCAAUCAUGUAUUUGGCUCUCCUUGGUGUGUUUCGUGGUGCAUGGUGAGGGGUGCACAGAUCUCCAGGGUUUGCAGUCCUGCUGGGAGAGGAGAGUCACAGACAUAAGUCAUUCAGUGGCAACCCAUGGCUGAUGGCUUGCAGGAGGAAGCCAAGCCACUGCUUGAGGGAGAAAGGCAUUGUGUGUGAGAUUCUUCUAGAAGGU